Molecule: transfer RNA, 65 nt
Filed under: Cavia porcellus (domestic guinea pig)
Lineage: Eukaryota; Metazoa; Chordata; Mammalia; Rodentia; Caviidae
Rfam family: tRNA
About the family: Transfer RNA (tRNA) molecules are approximately 80 nucleotides in length.
Source: Rfam by way of RNAcentral
GGGGAUUUAGCUUAGCAGUAUAAGCACCUGCCUUACAAGUAGGCUGGGUAAGAGUUCAAUCCCUG